GACGGAGGGGGCAAGCGUUGGCCGGAAUUAUUGGGCGUAAAGGGUACGUAGGCGGCUGGUCAAGUCUGGGGUCAAAGGCCACAGCUCAACUGUGGGAAGGCUCUGGAAACUGACCGGCUAGAGUGAGGUAGGGGUUGCGGGAAUUCCCGGUGUAGCGGUGAAAGGCGUAGAGAUCGGGAAGAACCCCUGAGGCGCAAGCGCGCAACUGGCCCUCAACUGACGCUGAGGUACGAAAGCUAGGGGAGCGAAUGGG
Molecule: ribosomal RNA, 253 nt
Filed under: uncultured bacterium
Lineage: Bacteria
Description: partial 16S ribosomal RNA
Rfam family: Bacterial small subunit ribosomal RNA
Source: RNAcentral